AUAAUGGGUCAGCGACUUAUAUUCUGUAGCAAGGUUAACCGAAUAGGGGAGCCGAAGGGAAACCGAGUCUUAACUGGGCGUUAAGUUGCAGGGUAUAGACCCGAAACCCGGUGAUCUAGCCAUGGGCAGGUUGAAGGUUGGGUAACACUAACUGGAGGACCGAACCGACUAAUGUUGAAAAAUUAGCGGAUGACUUGUGGCUGGGGGUGAAAGGCCAAUCAAACCGGGAGAUAGCUGGUUCUCCCCGAAAGCUAUUUAGGUAGCGCCUCGUGAAUUCAUCUCCGGGGGUAGAGCACUGUUUCGGCAAGGGGGUCAUCCCGACUUACCAACCCGAUGCAAACUGCGAAUACCGGAGAAUGUUAUCACGGGAGACACACGGCGGGUGCUAACGUCCGUCGUGAAGAGGGAAACAACCCAGACCGCCAGCUAAGGUCCCAAAGUCAUGGUUAAGUGGGAAACGAUGUGGGAAGGCCCAGACAGCCAGGAUGUUGGCUUAGAAGCAGCCAUCAUUUAAAGAAAGCGUAAUAGCUCACUGGUCGAGUCGGCCUGCGCGGAAGAUGUAACGGGGCUAAACCAUGCACCGAAGCUGCGGCAGCGACGCUGAUGCGUUGUUGGGUAGGGGAGCGUUCUGUAAGCCUGCGAAGGUGUGCUGUGAGGCAUGCUGGAGGUAUCAGAAGUGCGAAUGCUGACAUAAGUAACGAUAAAGCGGGUGAAAAGCCCGCUCGCCGGAAGACCAAGGGUUCCUGUCCAACGUUAAUCGGGGCAGGGUGAGUCGACCCCUAAGGCGAGGCCGAAAGGCGUAGUCGAUGGGAAACAGGUUAAUAUUCCUGUACUUGGUGUUACUGCGAAGGGGGGACGGAGAAGGCUAUGUUGGCCGGGCGACGGUUGUCCCGGUUUAAGCGUGUAGGCUGGUUUUCCAGGCAAAUCCGGAAAAUCAAGGCUGAGGCGUGAUGACGAGGCACUACGGUGCUGAAGCAACAAAUGCCCUGCUUCCAGGAAAAGCCUCUAAGCAUCAGGUAACAUCAAAUCGUACCCCAAACCGACACAGGUGGUCAGGUAGAGAAUACCAAGGCGCUUGAGAGAACUCGGGUGAAGGAACUAGGCAAAAUGGUGCCGUAACUUCGGGAGAAGGCACGCUGAUAUGUAGGUGAAGCGACUUGCUCGUGGAGCUGAAAUCAGUCGAAGAUACCAGCUGGCUGCAACUGUUUAUUAAAAACACAGCACUGUGCAAACACGAAAGUGGACGUAUACGGUGUGACGCCUGCCCGGUGCCGGAAGGUUAAUUGAUGGGGUUAGCGCAAGCGAAGCUCUUGAUCGAAGCCCCGGUAAACGGCGGCCGUAACUAUAACGGUCCUAAGGUAGCGAAAUUCCUUGUCGGGUAAGUUCCGACCUGCACGAAUGGCGUAAUGAUGGCCAGGCUGUCUCCACCCGAGACUCAGUGAAAUUGAACUCGCUGUGAAGAUGCAGUGUACCCGCGGCAAGACGGAAAGACCCCGUGAACCUUUACUAUAGCUUGACACUGAACAUUGAGCCUUGAUGUGUAGGAUAGGUGGGAGGCUUUGAAGUGUGGACGCCAGUCUGCAUGGAGCCGACCUUGAAAUACCACCCUUUAAUGUUUG
RNAcentral lists this ribosomal RNA (1619 nucleotides) under Escherichia coli. RNAcentral describes it as "partial 23S ribosomal RNA". It matches the Rfam family "Bacterial large subunit ribosomal RNA", at positions 612 to 2216 of the family's 2925-position model. The record is from RNAcentral. Lineage: Bacteria; Pseudomonadati; Pseudomonadota; Gammaproteobacteria; Enterobacterales; Enterobacteriaceae.